Scleropages formosus (Asian bonytongue) is the source of this 73-nucleotide non-coding RNA. The record is from the annotation of a RefSeq genome assembly. Lineage: Eukaryota; Metazoa; Chordata; Actinopteri; Osteoglossiformes; Osteoglossidae.
GCCCUAGUAGCUUAACCUCUAAAGCACCGGUUUUGUAACCCGAAGAUCGAAGGUUAAACUCCUUCCUAGAGCC